GCCAGUUCCACAGUGGUCCAAGUUCUCUUCCCCUAAUAAAUUAUGGGCUGAUUUGUAAGACCGUGAAGCACUGCUGCGAAACCCCAUUAGCCCAGAGGCACACCUCUGCCCCUAGUGCUCCAAUGCCUCAAGGUAAUGGCUGCUCCACGAAUCUGCAACUGCCCCAUGAGGAUCCCUCAAUGCACCCAGGCAGGUACUGGAACAGCAUCCCUUCGUGGUGCUUGAGCAUCUUCAGUGAAAGAGCCUCUGCAUGUAGGAGAAGCUGGGGGUGGUGCCAAGUCUCUAAAGUGUUCCAAUGCUAUUUAUCACACAGAGGUUUUCUCCCAGUUUCCUGGAGCACCUCACUGUGCUGCCAGGAGAGUGACUUCCUGGAAAAAAGAGCUGAAAUAAGUCAUACACACCCUGGUACUUCUAUACUAAAGGAAGGUGCGAAGUUUCUUCUCCUCCAAUGCUCUGUGCCAUACAGCUCCUUAUGGGCAUAGCCUUGAACAGCAAGAAUACAGCCUAGCAACAUGAGUCAGCACAGGGAAGACACUGUGCUGCUAUUGGCUGUUCUUAGGUGAAAUUAGCCUUAAAUAUCACCCACCUGGCAGCACUGUAGUAUCAAACAGGUCCUGGCCUGCAGCAGAAAUGCUAAGUCACAGCCUGUAGCAGUGAUUGAGCACCUGGUGAGAAGGCAGGGCCAGCCCAGGGGAGCUCAGGUGCAUGCAAUGCGGCUGAAUGACCGAAGGGGAUGGAGCCAGCAUCCACCCCUUCCCAGACCUCAUUUAAGGGUAGGCAGUCUUGCUGGAAAUCCCUGUGUCUUCCAAAGCAGCUGUACUCACAAACUGAGUGCAAGAGAAGCCACACCACCCUGCUGAGAAAGCGAGGCAGAAACUGGACAGACAAGGGUGUUCCUGGAUGUUGGUGGGAAAGAUGCUUGGUUCCCUGCAAGCACCGUAAAGCAGGAUGUGGAUGGUGGGGCUGGAGGAGAAACUCUAGCAGAGAGAGCAUUUCUGGAUGGUAAAAAGCCGUUAUUUCUGGCCAGAGCCUGGUUGCUUUGUGCAAAAGCAAACAUUCCAGCCUCACGUUGGCAGCACCACCACCUGUUAGCGGUGGGGUAACCAUGAGCACCCAGAGAAAAGAUGUCCUGAAGGACCAGCAGCAGCUGCCCAAAGGCUGUCACAAAAUCACCCACGUUUCCUGUCUUACAGAACUGAGGCCCAGAGGAUUUAUUAUUUCUACAAGUGUGCUUCAGCCCUGCUGUUGCCUUUGGCAGCUGGCUCCCUGAGCCUUGGUGCUGGCUGCUGACUGAAACCAAGGCACUGAGGACAGGAUGCAUCGCCCAUCCCAAGCCGUGCUGACCUGUUCUGCUGCUCUGGGGCUCACAUGGGGCUUAGCCGACGAGUGUCCCCUCCUCUGCAAAGUAGGACAUUCUGUCCGAGUGUGGAAAACACACGCUGCUGCUUCUGAUCAACUAAAUUAGGAGCUCAAUUAUUUUAAUGGCUCUUUAUUUUUUUCAGAGAACAAUCAUCCGGGGCCAGGAUGUUUUUUCUUUCUAAGCAGACUGUCUGUGCUAAUGGCUUGCAACUUGUCAACAGGAACCAAAUUCCCAUGGUGUCUGAAGGCAGAACCAUGGCAUUUUGGCAUAUUUCACCAUGCUCCAAUCAAUCACCUCUGAAAACAAUAUUGUGAGAGAGAUUGGUUGGAUGAGAUGGAUGGAAAACUAGAAUUUAUUCCCCAUUUCCUUUCUCCUCCUGCCACAGUGUACAUAACUGCAGCACUUGUAUAAACUGUUUAGGGAAGAGACUCUCACUCCUGUACACAGGGGUUUGGGUCCCAGUUCUGAUGGACCGGUAGUAAGGCUCUUUUAUGCCAUAUAUUUAUGAUGGGUGUCUUGAUUUCUUUAUGACUUGGUAACAUUUAUGGUGGAAGAAUAGAUGCUGACCUCUGUUGCUUUUCAUCAUCUAUUUUAUUUUUUAAGAACAGAAUGCAGUAUAAUUAAAUAUAAUAUUAAUAUAAUAACCUUUUAGAGUGCCAGAAACAUGCAGUGACAUAGUAGUGGAGUGAUACGGUGGUGGAAUGUACUCACUAGGAGAAUAAUACGUGUUUUGGCAUGUCUUCGUCAGAUAGUAUUUCCCCAACAAUUUGGUUCAGACUGUAGCCAACUUGAUUUGUAAACCAAGAGGUGGUCAGAUGGAGAUUGCACAUUUUGCAUCAGAUAAUGUGUACGUAAAUGUUCCAUUAUUCCAUCUGCUCUUGUUAAUGUUGACAACAGUCACCAUCAGUAAAGCAAUAUUUGCUGGCCAUGACUGUCCAGGUGCUCUCUGAGAUAACCUAGUCCAUCCUUAUAAUACAAACUGGCAAAUAUCUGGGCUGCUUCCAGACACAACUGUGUGGGAUCUACUGAUAGAAGCUGACUAUUUUUAAAUACCGUGUGCUAUAUAUAAAAUGCCAAACAAUUCACAAAUAAGCUAAGACCUUAAAUAACUGGGGCCAUAUGUAUGUAUAUUUAUUCUACCCACUCUUCGCACCAAAAUAUCCUUAUCUGCUGGCUUAGCAAUCAUUGCUCAGCAAUUUUUUGAGUUCCCAAAGGUUUUUUUUUUCUUUCUACCACACCUGCUAAUACAGAGUUUGCUUUAAAAAGAUUGUUCUUGACAAACUGAGUUUGUUUCUAGUAAAUAUCAGAUGACCAUUAGGACAAAUAUGUAUGCUUCCAGUGUAAUGAUAAUUUGCAGUCUUUUUUUUUUUCAUACUUUAACAUGCAUAUAUGGAUAAGGUUGGAUGUUUGGAAAAAUUUCUCAGAGUGGUGAUGCACUGACACAGCUGCCCAGGGAGGUGAUGGGGUCGCUAUUUCUGGAGGUGUCUGAGAACUGUGGAGAUGUGGCACUGAGGGAUGUGGUCAGCGGGCAUGGUGGGAUGGGUUGGGUUUGGACCUUAUGGCCUUACAAGUCUCUGCUGAGUGUGUAGGAAGUUCAUAACACUUCUUUUGUCUGGAGGACAGAGAUGAGUGGACAUCACAGAAACUUGACUCUUGGAUUUGUGUUUUUUUUGUGGCAGUGGUUGUGUU
This is a non-coding RNA of Meleagris gallopavo (turkey), 3049 nucleotides long. The record is from RefSeq and is a predicted model, not a curated record. NCBI's taxonomy places the organism in Eukaryota, Metazoa, Chordata, Aves, Galliformes, Phasianidae.